RNAcentral lists this small RNA (74 nucleotides) under Arabidopsis thaliana (thale cress). Its description in RNAcentral is "ATSL129850". The record is from RNAcentral. Lineage: Eukaryota; Viridiplantae; Streptophyta; Magnoliopsida; Brassicales; Brassicaceae.
GGUGUACGGAUAUUUUGCGAGCCAGUCUUGAUUUCGAAGAAACCGGUAGGGACUUCCUUGGUCUUUAAGAACCU